This 253-nucleotide ribosomal RNA is filed under the name uncultured bacterium. RNAcentral's name for it is "partial 16S ribosomal RNA". It matches the Rfam family "Bacterial small subunit ribosomal RNA", at positions 524 to 776 of the family's 1533-position model. The record is from RNAcentral.
CACGUAGGGGACGAGCGUUGUCCGGAUUCAUUGGGCGUAAAGCGCGCGUAGGCGGCUCGGAAAGUCGGCCGUGAAAUGCCGGGGCUCAACCCCGGGACUGCGUCCGAUACUCCCGAGCUGGAGGCAGGUAGGGGAGAUCGGAAUUCCUGGUGUAGCGGUGAAAUGCGCAGAUAUCAGGAGGAACACCGGUGGCGAAGGCGGAUCUCUGGGCCUUGCCUGACGCUGAGGCGCGAAAGCUAGGGGAGCGAACAGG